AUUCUUCGGAUGAUCGAUCGGUGACUGAGUGGCGGACGGGUGAGUAACGCGUGGGUAACCUGCCCUGUACAGGGGGAUAACAGUUGGAAAUGGCUGCUAAUACCGCAUAAGCGCACAGAACCGCAUGGUUCGGUGUGAAAAACUCCGGUGGUAUAAGAUGGACCCGCGUUGGAUUAGCUAGUUGGCAGGGCAGCGGCCUACCAAGGCGACGAUCCAUAGCCGGCCUGAGAGGGUGAACGGCCACAUUGGGACUGAGACACGGCCCAGACUCC
RNAcentral lists this ribosomal RNA (272 nucleotides) under uncultured Eubacteriales bacterium. Its description in RNAcentral is "uncultured Clostridiales bacterium partial 16S ribosomal RNA". It matches the Rfam family "Bacterial small subunit ribosomal RNA", at positions 70 to 339 of the family's 1533-position model. The record is from RNAcentral. Lineage: Bacteria; Bacillati; Bacillota; Clostridia; Eubacteriales.